UACGAAGGGGGCUAGCGUUGUUCGGAAUUACUGGGCGUAAAGCGCGCGCAGGCGGCUAUCCAAGUCAGUGGUGAAAGCCCGGAGCUCAACUCCGGAACUGCCAUUGAAACUGUUUAGCUUGAGGAUGAGAGAGGUGAGUGGAAUUCCCAGUGUAGAGGUGAAAUUCGUAGAUAUUGGGAAGAACACCGGUGGCGAAAGCGGCGCACUGGACCAUAACUGACGCUGAGGCGCGAAAGCUAGGGGAGCAAACAGG
RNAcentral lists this ribosomal RNA (253 nucleotides) under uncultured bacterium. RNAcentral describes it as "partial 16S ribosomal RNA". It matches the Rfam family "Bacterial small subunit ribosomal RNA", at positions 524 to 776 of the family's 1533-position model. The record is from RNAcentral.